GAGGAACGCUGGCGGCGUGCCUAAUACAUGCAAGUCGAGCGAACAGACGAGGAGCUUGCUCCUCUGACGUUAGCGGCGGACGGGUGAGUAACACGUGGAUAACCUACCUAUAAGACUGGGAUAACUUCGGGAAACCGGAGCUAAUACCGGAUAAUAUAUUGAACCGCAUGGUUCAAUAGUGAAAGACGGUUUUGCUGUCACUUAUAGAUGGAUCCGCGCCGCAUUAGCUAGUUGGUAAGGUAACGGCUUACCAAGGCAACGAUGCGUAGCCGACCUGAGAGGGUGAUCGGCCACACUGGAACUGAGACACGGUCCAGACUCCUACGGGAGGCAGCAGUAGGGAAUCUUCCGCAAUGGGCGAAAGCUUGACGGAGCAACGCCGCGUGAGUGAUGAAGGUCUUCGGAUCGUAAAACUCUGUUAUUAGGGAAGAACAAAUGUGUAAGUAACUAUGCACGUCUUGACGGUACCUAAUCAGAAAGCCACGGCUAACUACGUG
RNAcentral lists this ribosomal RNA (497 nucleotides) under uncultured bacterium. RNAcentral describes it as "partial 16S ribosomal RNA". It matches the Rfam family "Bacterial small subunit ribosomal RNA", at positions 28 to 507 of the family's 1533-position model. The record is from RNAcentral.